RNAcentral lists this long non-coding RNA (286 nucleotides) under Mus spicilegus (steppe mouse). RNAcentral describes it as "lncRNA (ENSMSIG00000025548.1)". Lineage: Eukaryota; Metazoa; Chordata; Mammalia; Rodentia; Muridae. The record is from RNAcentral.
GCCGGCACGACACUGACACGUCCGAGGACCGACCUGUGGAGCGCCGCGGUUUGGUUUUGGUUUGUUUCCUAAGGACCUUACAGAGAAGCUCCCAGGUCAGAAGACAGAGACAUCCGGACGAAGCCUGCAGGUUUUCUUCAUCUGAGGUGAGGUUGGCCUCAAUUUCCCUUUGCUCUGUUUCGCUGAGCUGGGUCUUCCUGUGCUGCCCUGGAGCUUGCUGUGGUUGUUCUCUGUGUCCUGCGUGCUGGAAGCAAACCCUCCUCACUGGACUUGCCUGUAAUCUCUU